Molecule: long non-coding RNA, 1323 nt
Filed under: Pogona vitticeps (central bearded dragon)
Lineage: Eukaryota; Metazoa; Chordata; Lepidosauria; Squamata; Agamidae
Description: lncRNA (ENSPVIG00000009915.1)
Source: RNAcentral
AUGCAGAAGACACCCCCCUGGGUGGCUACAGAGUUGCCCUCUGCAAAGUCUCUGGGCUCAGCGUUGCUGGGGCUUUGUGCCAGCAGCCCUCCCGCCACCAGACUAGGAGCUGGACUGCGUCUGCAGACGGGGAGAAGCCACCACCUCCACCCCACGUCCGGCGGUCUGAGCGUACAGAAUGGGAGAGCCCAGGACACGUCAGGAUGGACUCCAUGUCCCAGCACUCCAUUGGCCGCUGUGCCUCCCCAGAGGCCUGCCUGGAUCAAGCCCUUUUUCUGGGCUGCUGCGCCUCUCGCUGCCCCUUUUCUCCUGGCAGGCGAUAGGACCGAGGCCAGGGCAGCUCGUCCCAGGACACCUGCCUCUUGCACCCUGGGCUGCUGUCUUCUCCCUGACCCCACACACCCAGUCGGGAAUAAAGCAAGGGGUCUCUUGCACAGGAGGAUGGCUACGUCUCUCCCCAUCUGGCCAGAUGGCGUUGUGGGCCGAGGUCGGUCGGGCCCCGGCUGGCAGAGGCAGGUCCUUCCUGGGCCUCCUGGCAUUGGCUGCCAACUCUGGGAAGUCCUUCCCCAGCAGCUCAUGACACCUGCCCAGUUUUCAGGAGGGAGGGGGAGCAGGACAGACUCCCUGGCUACUGAUGGGCCUGGCAUGACCCAGGGCUGCGGCAGGCAGCUCAGACUCAGGCCCCCGUGCCUUGUACCCAGUGGCACUCAGAGGCAUGCGCAUGCUGUGUGUUCCCCCCACUCGGAAAAAGAGGAGGCAGCCGGAAGGGGUCUCGGUGGUAAACUGAAUGCUUUAUUUCAUUCAAGACAAGGUAGCCAACUACAGCUCAAGAGUGCAAAGAGAGACCUCCCAGGCGAGGGAGCAAGGAAGUGCCUGCGCGUGGCCCAGCGGCUAUGCUCAUCUGCCAGGCAUGCACUCAUGCAGAUGGAACCCCACAUUGGCCCUGGCGCAGAUUGCCCGCCGGGCACCUCUUUUCCAAGGGAAGGGGGAGAGGGUGCCCACGGGAGCAUUAGGGAAUCCUCUCACCACACCCGUGUGGCCCCACACAACGCUGGGCUGGGUUCUCUGUGGGGGACAAUGGGCAGCAGGUGGCUGGAUGAGGACAAGCCCUUUCCAGCCGUCCGACUUCACAGGCAGAGAAGGGGGCUGGGGAAGCCUUACCGCUCCUGCCUGGGGGGGGGGGGGAGAAGCAUUUCCAGUGGGAAAGAGCCAGAGGGGAGGUUUCCCAGAAGGGUACACGGGAGGAUCUUCCCACCGGGAUCUAGUCUCCCCCAUAGGGCAAACCGGCUGGCCGCUGGCCCUCAUACCAGCUGUGCCCCCUAA